UCUUGGCUCUACUACUUCUACAAUUCCUAUAAUCUUUUGGAGUUGUCUUUGAUUUAAAUUAUUAUUUUCGUGUAUUCCAUGUACACCCACCUUCUCUUGCUAUGAAGUAACCCCUUCACCAGGUAUCAAAGUUAAUGCUUGUGAUUCCUAAAAAUUCUUUGUUUCUUCGAAUUUGAAUUCUCUGAGUUUAUAUUUCUUUUUUAUUUUCUCUGUUUCUCAAUUUGGGUCUCUCUUUAUUUGUUCUUUUGCUCUACUUCUAAGAUUUGAUCACUGUGUUUGGAGGUAAUUGCUUCUCUUCUUCUUCGUGCAUUGCUUCUGGGUUUAACAAGUCUAAGGAAUCACCAAUUGUUUGCUAGAUUUCAAUUUUUUUAGGCAGCUUUGCUUUCAGUUUGCCUUCUAGGUGUUUGUGAAAUUGCCUUCUGAAAAUUUUAGUUUUGCACACAAAGAGGGUGAGAUGCGAAUCAAGGUAUUAAGGGAUGAAAAGACUGUUAGCUUCCAUGAUGAUGAAACCAUAGUGAUUUGCGCUGAUUGUUGGUGGAAGACAGACUUAAAAGAGAGCUCAAGAAUAUACCUUCUUUUUGCUUAAAAGAAUGUUGAUAUUUGAAUAAAUGAAGUCUACUCUUCACAAUAUGUACUUUCCAGUAGCAUCAAAGAAAGGAGGAGGGGCACGUGAAAUCUCAUUGCUAUUCUUUUCUAAGGAUUGAGUGCAUAGGAAGCACGAUAUUUAGAUGCACUUACCACAAAAAUAAAAAAGGGACGUUGACCACCGUAGAAAAGCUAUUUGUGAAGAACUCCUCGGAUUAAAUCCUGAUAUAAUUUGCCUAUAAGUAAUUACAAUUGCCUCUUGCUUAUUGGUAUGUUUACAUAUGUUCAUACUUUAGAUAUAAAACUGAUUGAAGAAUUUUAUUGAUGUGAUUGAAUAGGAGAUGGAUAAGUAUUAUGAUCUACUAAAAUUUUUGAAUAAAGUUGGAUAUCUCUAAGGUGCACAGGCAGAAAUGCUGCUUGGUAGUCUCAAACUUGUUGCAAUAGUCACUCUCAAGCUACAUAAGAUAAUAAGAAGGUUGUUUUCUGAGUUAGUCAAGAUGAUUUGGCGUAUCGAGAAUGAUGAGUGAUGGAGAUUGUGUGAAUGGUUUAUGUUUGGAAACUUCGCGGAAUUAUCUUCUUAGAGUAACUUUUAUGUACAGGAUUUCAAUGGCAAGGGCCAAGGGGUGAUCAAAUCCAUCUGCUUGUUUUACUCAAGAAAUUACCAAGUCUUAUGGCUGCACCAAAAUGGCAAAAACGAUAUGCAGCAGUUACAAUCAUUUGUGUCACUGCGAAACGAUGUUUAAAGAUUUAUGCCAAAGCUUUGCAUAUUAUUAUUGAAUUUAAUGUUUGAUUCUGCACUCAAGACUGCUCCUCUCUUGGAUAUGUGCAGUUUGAUCAGAAAUUUGAUUGUUAUAAUUGACCACUUCUACAAAUAGAUUGCUAAGCAUACACACACACAAAAAAAAAUUGUGAUAUCUUCUAGCUAGAAAACUUGAAAUGGCACAAUGAUUCCUUUCUUUGUUUUUUUUUUAAUGUUAUUUCUUAAUUUCAAUGUAAGUGUUCUUCCUUUUUUUUUCAAUUUUCAUGCUUUGUUUUCCUCUCGUAUCUUUCUUCUUUUUCUUGAAACAGGAAUAAAAAAUAGCUAGGUCGGCAAAGAUUAAAGAUUAGUCUAAGGAUUCCAAUAUUGUCUUAAGUCGUGAAAAAAUGAUUGAAUGUGAUGUCCCAAGACGAAGAAUUGGAUUCCAAUCAUGAAAAAUGAAUAUGUCCCUAAAUAAAAUGUACAAAGUCUGUUGACAUACAAAAUAUGAAAUGUGCUUUAUCACACCUGGAAUUCCUUUUUCAAGACUUAUUUCUCUAUGAACCUUUAGGUAAUUCUAGCUUUUUUCCUAUCUUUAUGCAGUAAUUUAUGAUAAAAUAUUUAAUCACUCAUGAGCUAUCUGAUCUCUUCAUAUGUUUAGGAGACUGAUUGUAAUCUGAAUUUAUUCUCAAACAUAUAUCCUACCUUAAAAUUUUUCGAAUGUGAAAGUUUAACAUAUUUGUAGAUAGAUAAGUAGUUAAACUUUGGUCUAUGUGCUUAAUGUUUUAUAUGUAUUUGAGAAAAUUUCGAUUGAUAUAAUUGGAUAUCUUUUGCUGAUGUUAAAACUUCUUCCCUAGGUUGAUGAGUUGCAGAACGCAAUAGAGGAAUAACAGAAGAAUUUGGUUGAAGAGAUUAGGAAUGCAGUUAAUGAUCAUAUAAGAGUAGGCUGGAGGAUGCUACUGGGGAUCCUGAAGUAAUGGCUCUGAAUUAGCGAGUGAAUUACAACUAAGCUCCAUGAUUAUAACUUUAUUCUUUCAUACAUCAGCUAAUUGUAGCAACAGAUCUCCUAAUGCAGUUCAAGUCUUUAACUGCUAUAGCCUUUGUAUGAUGCAUAUGCUACUUCAUAUUAGAGGAUUUACAUCUCAGUAACUAGCCAACUGCUUAGAGUGCAAUGCUAAUAUUGCAUAAAAGUACUGGUACUCGAGAGGCAUUUCCUUCUUCGUAACAGUUUCUUUCAGGUUAUACUAGGUUUUCUUUGAUCAUCAGCAAAGUUUAACACUUUCGAAGUUGCUCAGAGUCAAGUCAAUGACUUCUGGUAGUCUGAGCUUUAUCCUUAUAAGUAUAGGAUAAGUUGGGUUCAUUUUGGUUUGGUGCUGUCAAUGUUAAAGGCAUAAUCCAACUGGCUGCAAGGAUCAUGUUUGGUAGGGUCAAGAUGCUUUACUUAGAAUUGAGCAUGAGAAAUAGCAUAUCCCCCUAUGUUGCACAUGUAGCUUUAAGUGUAUUGCCUUGCAUCUUAGACACACUUUUCACCUACAUGCACCAUAUGUCUAAGAAUGUUCGGA
This 2883-nucleotide long non-coding RNA is filed under the name Nicotiana tabacum (common tobacco). RNAcentral describes it as "long non-coding RNA (NTAB_LNC010738)". The record is from RNAcentral. Lineage: Eukaryota; Viridiplantae; Streptophyta; Magnoliopsida; Solanales; Solanaceae.